Molecule: long non-coding RNA, 269 nt
Filed under: Populus tremula
Lineage: Eukaryota; Viridiplantae; Streptophyta; Magnoliopsida; Malpighiales; Salicaceae
Description: long non-coding RNA (PTRE_LNC003049)
Source: RNAcentral
GGUGCUCUAAGAUACACAUCAUAUUGUGGUCGUCCUCCAGAAUCGGUUUAUCGAUGAAGAAGAUAUUGUAAGAAUUCGGUCUAUAAAAUGGGAUGGAAACUGGUUUGAAAUCCGAGCUUCUCUUAGUUAUGAGCUGUUUGUGCCAAGAAUAUUCAACAGAGAUGAUAAUGGAAACUAUGGUCAGAUUUUGUAUAAUUUAUAUCCAAACCAGACCUGUAAUCCCUUUGUCCCCUCAUCAAUAUCUAUCCAUUCCAUGUGCUAAAAUUCAC